This 492-nucleotide ribosomal RNA is filed under the name uncultured bacterium. Its description in RNAcentral is "partial 16S ribosomal RNA". It matches the Rfam family "Bacterial small subunit ribosomal RNA", at positions 28 to 507 of the family's 1533-position model. The record is from RNAcentral.
GAUGAACGCUGGCUACAGGCUUAACACAUGCAAGUCGAGGGGAAACGGCAUUGAGUGCUUGCACUGAAUGGACGUCGACCGGCGCACGGGUGAGUAACGCGUAUCCAACCUUCCCGUUACUGCGGGAUAACCUGCCGAAAGGCAGACUAAUACCGCAUGUUCUUCGAUGACGGCAUCAGAUUCGAAGCAAAGAUCCGUCGGUAACGGAGGGGGAUGCGUCUGAUUAGCUAGUUGGCGGGGCGACGGCCCACCAAGGCGACGAUCAGUAGGGGUUCUGAGAGGAAGGUCCCCCACAUUGGAACUGAGACAAGGUCCAAACUCAUACGGGAGGCAGCAGUGAGGAAUAUUGGUCAAUGGGCGGAAGCCUGAACCAGCCAAGUAGCGUGCAGGAAGACGGCCCUACGGGUUGUAAACUGCUUUUAUGCGGGGAUAAAGUGAGGGAAGCGUCCCUUUUUGCAGGUACCGCAUGAAUAAGGACCGGCUAAUUCCGUG